CCUACGGGAGGCUGCAGUGAGGAAUAUUGGUCAAUGGCCGUAAGGCUGAACCAGCCAAGUAGCGUGAGGGAAGACUGCCCUAUGGGUUGUAAACCUCUUUUAUGCGGGGAUAAAUGUGUCCACGUGUGGAUGUUUGCAGGUACCGCAUGAAUCAGGACCGGCUAAUUCCGUGCCAGCCGCCGCGGUAAUACGGAAGGUCCGGGCGUUAUCCGGAUUUAUUGGGUUUAAAGGGAGCGUAGUCCGGUGUUUAAGCGUGCCGUGAAAUUUUGUGGCUCAACCAUGAGAGUGCGGCGCGAACUGGAGAGCUUGAGUGCGCGGAAGGCAGGCGGAAUUCGUGGUGUAGCGGUGAAAUGCGUAGAUAUCACGAAGAACCCCGAUGGCGAAGGCAGCCUGCCGAAGCGUUACUGACGCUGAAGCUCGAAAGCGUGGGUAUCGAACAGGAUUAGAUACCCCAGUAGUC
RNAcentral lists this ribosomal RNA (460 nucleotides) under uncultured bacterium. Its description in RNAcentral is "partial 16S ribosomal RNA". It matches the Rfam family "Bacterial small subunit ribosomal RNA", at positions 338 to 795 of the family's 1533-position model. The record is from RNAcentral.